This is a long non-coding RNA of Nothoprocta perdicaria, 430 nucleotides long. RefSeq lists it as uncharacterized. NCBI's taxonomy places the organism in Eukaryota, Metazoa, Chordata, Aves, Tinamiformes, Tinamidae. The record is from RefSeq and is a predicted model, not a curated record. The transcript has 2 exons.
UCCUUCUUCUUGUUUAUACAGYAUAUGGCUUCCAAAGGGUGCUCUGUUGUUCCCUUGUUUUCCAGGACCAUUUGUUUUUCUUUCUAGCUCCCAAAGUAUGUCCCUUGYRUGCAUAUGUGUGUGUGUUUGUCUCCCAGGCUAACGGAGCAUUUCACAGGCCUAAAGGAACUAAAGAGCUCAUCAUUCCCAAGAGUGGCUGAGCAGGGCAACACGUGCGUGGGUGUCUAGGAUGUAUCUCUGUAUCCUGAAGCUGCUGCUUGGACACACUGGAAUUCUGGGGCUGAGUCCCAGCCCUUGUGUGGGCUGUCUGUAUCUCUGAGCUAGAAGUUUCCUGUGGUUCUUCACUAUGAACCUGUUUUGUGCCACCUUUGUCCAGCAAAUACCCCAUGUAGCCCAAUCUAAUAGAAAAGAGCAGUAAUGUGGUCUUCUU